UACAGAGGGUGCAAACGUUGUUCGGAAUUACUGGGCGUAAAGCGCACGUAGGCGGCUUAGCAAGUCGGAUGUGAAAUCCCUCGGCUCAACCAAGGAAGUGCAUCCGAAACUGCUGAGCUUGAGUACGAAAGAGGAUCGCGGAAUUCCCGGUGUAGAGGUGAAAUUCGUAGAUAUCGGGAGGAACACCAGUGGCGAAGGCGGCGAUCUGGGUCGAUACUGACGCUGAGGUGCGAAAGCGUGGGGAGCAAACAGG
Molecule: ribosomal RNA, 253 nt
Filed under: uncultured bacterium
Lineage: Bacteria
Description: partial 16S ribosomal RNA
Rfam family: Bacterial small subunit ribosomal RNA
Source: RNAcentral